CGUUAUCCGGAAUGAUUGGGCGUAAAGCGUCCGUAGGUGGUUAUGUAAGUCUGUGGUUAAAGCGUGGGGCUCAACCCCAUAAAGGCCAUGGAAACUACAAGACUUGAGUGAAGUAGGGGUAGAGGGAAUUCCCAGUGUAGCGGUGAAAUGCGUAGAGAUUGGGAAGAACACCGGUGGCGAAAGCGCUCUACUGGACUUAAACUGACACUGAGGGACGAAAGCUAGGGGAGCGAAAGGGAUUAGAUACCCCUGUAGUCCUAGCCGUAAACGAUGGAUACUAGGUGUUGCCCGUAUCGACCCGGGCAGUGCCGUAGCUAACGCGUUAAGUAUCCCGCCUGGGGAGUACGCACGCAAGUGUGAAACUCAAAGGAAUUGA
This 376-nucleotide ribosomal RNA is filed under the name uncultured bacterium. RNAcentral describes it as "bacterial SSU rRNA". It matches the Rfam family "Bacterial small subunit ribosomal RNA", at positions 539 to 913 of the family's 1533-position model. The record is from RNAcentral.